GCGGGCGAGGCCAGAGGAAGGGCGUGGAUCAACCUCACCAGUAAACCCCUUCUACAGCAGCAGCCGGAGAUGGAAGGAACCACACCUGGGGAGAGAAAGAGGAGGUGGUUCACCAUUGGACGACAGCUGUUGCUUGGACUUAUCCUGGCCAGCACUGGAGAGAGGGCGGCACAGCUGGAAGGGUCGCUGCCUCACUACCCCAGGGACCCGGGUUCGAUCCUGACCCCCGGCGCUGUCUGUGUGGAGUUUGCACGUUCUCCCUGUGAACGCGUGGGAUCCCCCUGGUUUCCCUCCACAUCCCAAAGAGGUGCAGAUGCUGCCUGACCUGCUGAGCAUUUCUGUAUUCUGGAUAGAAAGCAUCCUAACCGGAUGCAUCAUGGCUUGGUAUGGCGACUGCUCUGUCUGAGACUGCAAGAAACUGCAGAGAGUUGUGGACACAGCACAUCACAGAAACCAGCCUCCCCUCCAUGGACUCUGUCUAUACCUCUCGCUGCCUCGGUAAAGCAGCCAACAUUAUCAAAGACCCUACCCUUCCUGGACAUUCUCUCUUCUCCCCUCUCCCAUUGGGCAGAAGAUACAAAAGCCUGAAAACACGUACCACCAGGCUUAAGGACAGCUUCUAUCCUGCUGUUAUGACUAUUGAAUGGUUCCCUAGUACGAUAAAAUGGACUAUUAAUCUCACAGUCUACCUUAUUGUGAUCUUGCACCUUAUUGUCUACCUGCACUGCACUUCCUCUGUAGCUGUGACAUUUUAUUCUGCAUUCUGUAUUGUUUUACCCUGUACUACUUCAAUGCACUGUGUAAUGAAUUGAUCUGUAGGAUCGGUAGGCAAGACAAGUCUUUCACUGUACCUCAGUACAUGUGACGAUAAUAAACCAAUUCCAAUUCUC
Long non-coding RNA from Pristis pectinata (smalltooth sawfish), 890 nucleotides. RefSeq lists it as uncharacterized. The record is from RefSeq and is a predicted model, not a curated record. The transcript is spliced from 2 exons. Lineage: Eukaryota; Metazoa; Chordata; Chondrichthyes; Rhinopristiformes; Pristidae.